Lagopus leucura (white-tailed ptarmigan) is the source of this 395-nucleotide long non-coding RNA. RefSeq lists it as uncharacterized. The record is from RefSeq and is a predicted model, not a curated record. Lineage: Eukaryota; Metazoa; Chordata; Aves; Galliformes; Phasianidae. The transcript is spliced from 3 exons.
AGAGAUGCUGGGUCACUUCAGAGCUGUAGCUGAGUUUGGAUACAUAGUGAAUAUGAGGGAAGAACUUCAUCCACUAGCUGCACUGAGUGACCCAGUAUAACUGAGGGGAGAUAAGAGCUCUUUCAACUUCUGCACACUCUUCCAAGUUAAAUACUACAGAAUUUCAGAUUUUUUGAGAAACCAUUUUCAGUUGCUUUCAACUUGUUUUGGAUUCAACUCAUGAUCUUAAUGAUGAAGGACGCCACAACCUAUUAGCAGUCAUCUGAGCCAUCCAGAUCUCUCAAGAGCCUGUUUCAGCAAGUUGGUCAAUGUUCCCGUGUGAUGCAUGCGAAAUAUAUUUUACGAUUUAAGUAUUUUCUGCAUUCAUCAUGUGAAUCAAAUUACAAGGCACUCAA